RNAcentral lists this ribosomal RNA (395 nucleotides) under uncultured bacterium. RNAcentral's name for it is "bacterial SSU rRNA". It matches the Rfam family "Bacterial small subunit ribosomal RNA", at positions 32 to 428 of the family's 1533-position model. The record is from RNAcentral.
AACCAACGCUGGCGGCGUGCUUAACACAUGCAAGUCGAGCGGUAAGGCCCUUUCGGGGGUACACGAGCGGCGAACGGGUGAGUAACACGUGGGUGACCUGCCCUCAGCUCUGGGAUAAGCCUGGGAAACUGGGUCUAAUACCGGAUAUGACUCCAUGACGCAUGUUGUGGGGUGGAAAGCCUUGUGCGGCUGAGGAUGGGCCCGCGGCCUAUCAGCUUGUUGGUGGGGUGANGGCCUACCAAGGCGACGACGGGUAGCCGGCCUGAGAGGGCGACCGGCCACACUGGGACUGAGACACGGCCCAGACUCCUACGGGAGGCAGCAGUGGGGAAUCUUGCGCAAUGGGCGAAAGCCUGACGCGGCGACGCCGCGUGAGGGAUGACGGCCUGGUGUAA